Neogale vison (American mink) is the source of this 442-nucleotide long non-coding RNA. RefSeq lists it as uncharacterized. The record is from RefSeq and is a predicted model, not a curated record. NCBI's taxonomy places the organism in Eukaryota, Metazoa, Chordata, Mammalia, Carnivora, Mustelidae. The transcript is spliced from 2 exons.
CUCCCUGCUGAGCAGGGAUUCCCUACAUGGAGCUCCAUCCCAGGACCCCAGGAUCAUGACCCAAGUGGAAUGCAGAUGCCUGACCAACUGAAUGACCCAGGUAGGCUCCAUGACCAACAUGCGGCUUAAACUCACGCCCCUGAGAUCAAGGACUGCACGCUCUACCAUCUGAGCCAGCCAGGUGCCCCGUGCUAAUGCCUUAAAAAAAAAAAAAAAAAGUGUACAGCUUGAUGGAUAUAGAUAUCUAUCCCCUUGUGUAACCAUUACCCAGGAUAACACAGAGAACAUUUACUGUGCCUCAUAAGGUUCUUUUGUGCUCCUUCCUAAUCAAUAACCAUCACCUUCCUCUAGCUACAUGGUUAAUGCUGUUAGUUUUUUAGAAUUUCAUAUAUAUGCAUUUAAAUGGAUCAAAAGUAAUUUAAAGGCAUGGCUAUUUCUUGUU